AAUCUUCCACAAUGGACGGAAGUCUGAUGGAGCAACGCUGCGUGAGCGAAGAAGGUUUUCGGAUCGUAAAGUUCUGUUGUAAGGGAGGAAAGGGACGGUACCUUAGGCGGAAGCCCCGGCUAACUACGUGCCAGCAGCCGCGGUAAUACGUAGGGGGCGAGCGUUAUACGGAAUUAUUGGGCGUAAAGGGUGCGUAGGCGGCCUUUUAAGUCAGAUGUGAAAGGCUACGGCUUAACCGUAGUUAGCAUUUGAAACUAAAAGGCUUGAGUGCAAGAGAGGAGAGUGGAAUUCCUAGUGUAGCGGUGAAAUGCGUAGAUAUUGGGAGGAACACCAGUGGCGAAGGCGACUACCUGGACGAAAACUGACGCUGAGGCACGAAAGCUAGGGGAGCAAACAG
Molecule: ribosomal RNA, 397 nt
Filed under: uncultured bacterium
Lineage: Bacteria
Description: partial 16S ribosomal RNA
Rfam family: Bacterial small subunit ribosomal RNA
Source: RNAcentral